AUGAACGCUGGCGGCGUGCCUAAUACAUGCAAGUCGAGCGAACAGAUAAGGAGCUUGCUCCUUUGACGUUAGCGGCGGACGGGUGAGUAACACGUGGGUAACCUACCUAUAAGACUGGAAUAACUCCGGGAAACCGGGGCUAAUGCCGGAUAACAUUUAGAACCGCAUGGUUCUAAAGUGAAAGAUGGUUUUGCUAUCACUUAUAGAUGGACCCGCGCCGUAUUAGCUAGUUGGUAAGGUAACGGCUUACCAAGGCAACGAUACGUAGCCGACCUGAGAGGGUGAUCGGCCACACUGGAACUGAGACACGGUCCAGACUCCUACGGGAGGCAGCAGUAGGGAAUCUUCCGCAACGGGCGAAAGCCUGACGGAGCAACGCCGCGUGAGUGAUGAAGGUCUUCGGAUCGUAAAACUCUGUUAUUAGGGAAGAACAAAUGUGUAAGUAACUGUGCACGUCUUGACGGUACCUAAUCAGAAAGCCACGGCUAACUACGUG
Molecule: ribosomal RNA, 496 nt
Filed under: uncultured bacterium
Lineage: Bacteria
Description: partial 16S ribosomal RNA
Rfam family: Bacterial small subunit ribosomal RNA
Source: RNAcentral